GACGAACGCUGGCGGCGUGCCUAAUACAUGCAAGUCGAACGCAUUUUCUUUCACCGUAGCUUGCUACACCGAAAGAAAAUGAGUGGCGAACGGGUGAGUAACACGUGGGUAACCUGCCCAUCAGCGGGGGAUAACACUUGGAAACAGGUGCUAAUACCGCAUAAUUCCAUUUACCGCAUGGUAAAUGGAUGAAAGGCGCUUUUGCGUCACUGAUGGAUGGACCCGCGGUGCAUUAGCUAGUUGGUGGGGUAACGGCCUACCAAGGCUGCGAUGCAUAGCCGACCUGAGAGGGUGAUCGGCCACACGGGGACUGAGACACGGCCCAGACUCCUACGGGAGGCAGCAGUAGGGAAUCUUCGGCAAUGGACGCAAGCCUGACCGAGCAACGCCGCGUGAUUGAAGAAGGUUUUCGGAUCGUAAAACUCUGUUGUUAGAGAAGAACAAGGAUGAGAGUGGAAAGUUCAUCCCUUGACGGUAUCUAACCAGAAAGCCACGGCUAACUACGUG
This 507-nucleotide ribosomal RNA is filed under the name uncultured bacterium. RNAcentral's name for it is "partial 16S ribosomal RNA". It matches the Rfam family "Bacterial small subunit ribosomal RNA", at positions 28 to 507 of the family's 1533-position model. The record is from RNAcentral.